CGGGGUGCACCAGGCGCGAAAACUUUGCAAUGCGGGAAACCGUGACAAGGGAACUCUGAGUGCCCGUUAAAUCGGGCUGUCCAUCGGUUUAAAUAACCGGUGAAGAAAGGGCCGGGCAAGACCGGUGCCAGCCGCCGCGGUAACACCGGCGGCUCGAGUGGUGGCCACUAUUACUGGGCUUAAAGCGUUCGUAGCUGGUUUGUUAAGUCUCUGGGGAAAUCUUCCGGCUUAACCGGAAGGCGUCUCAGGGAUACUGGCAGACUAGGGACCGGGAGAGGUGAGAGGUACUCCAGGGGUAGGAGUGAAAUCCUGUAAUCCUUGGGGGACCACCUGUGGCGAAGGCGUCUCACCAGAACGGCUCCGACAGUGAGGGACGAAAGCUGGGGGAGCAAACCGGAUUAGAUACCCGGGUAGUCCCAGCUGUAAACGAUGCGCGUUAGGUGUAUCGGUGACCACGAGUCACCGAGGUGCCGAAGAGAAAUCGUGAAACGUGCCGCCUGGGAA
RNAcentral lists this ribosomal RNA (504 nucleotides) under uncultured archaeon. Its description in RNAcentral is "bacterial SSU rRNA". It matches the Rfam family "Archaeal small subunit ribosomal RNA", at positions 326 to 834 of the family's 1478-position model. The record is from RNAcentral.